AAAAAGAUAAAUCCUAGUUUCCAUGUACAAUAUUUGACUGUCCGUCUUAUUUAAAAAAAUUAUGAAAAAAUUAAAAAGACAAGUCACACAUAAAAUAUUAAUCAUGUUUUAUCAUCUAACAACAAUAAAAAUACGAAUUAUAAAAUUUUUUUAUAUAAGACGGACAAUAAAAAUUGGACACGAAAAUCUAAGGUUUGACUUUUU
Molecule: non-coding RNA, 204 nt
Organism: Oryza glumipatula
Lineage: Eukaryota; Viridiplantae; Streptophyta; Magnoliopsida; Poales; Poaceae
Source: Rfam